RNAcentral lists this ribosomal RNA (160 nucleotides) under uncultured Acholeplasma sp. RNAcentral's name for it is "partial 16S ribosomal RNA". It matches the Rfam family "Bacterial small subunit ribosomal RNA", at positions 1221 to 1382 of the family's 1533-position model. The record is from RNAcentral. Lineage: Bacteria; Bacillati; Mycoplasmatota; Mollicutes; Acholeplasmatales; Acholeplasmataceae.
CGUGAUACAAUGGCUGGAACAAAGGGAGGCGAAGGGGUGACCUGGAGCGAACCCAAAAUACAGUCUCAGUUCGGAUUGAAGUCUGCAACUCGACUUCAUGAAGUCGGAAUCGCUAGUAAUCGCGGAUCAGAACGCCGCGGUGAAUACGUUCUCGGGGUUU